GAAAUGCGAUAAGUAUUGUGAAUUGCAGAAUUCAGUGAAUCAUCGAAACUUUGAACGCACGUUGCGCCCCUUGGUAUUCCAUGGGGCUUGCCUGUGCGAGCGUCCUUUGUACCCUCAAGCUUAGCUUGGUGUUGGGCGUCUUGUCCUCUUCUGGAGGACUCGCCUCAAAACAAUUGGCAGCCGGCAUAUUGGUAUCGGAGCGCAGCACAAGUCGCACUUUGUUCCAUGAAUGUUGGCAUCCAUCAAGACCAUUUUUUCACUCUUGACCUCGGAUCAGGUAGGGAUACCCGCUAAACUUAA
Molecule: unclassified non-coding RNA, 300 nt
Filed under: uncultured Pleosporales
Lineage: Eukaryota; Fungi; Ascomycota; Dothideomycetes; Pleosporales
Description: sequence contains ITS1
Rfam family: 5.8S ribosomal RNA (bases 1-105)
Source: RNAcentral